AUUGAACGCUGGCGGCAUGCUUUACACAUGCAAGUCGAACGGUAACAGGUUAAGCUGACGAGUGGCGAACGGGUGAGUAAUGCAUCGGAACGUGCCCGAUCGUGGGGGAUAACGCAGCGAAAGCUGCGCUAAUACCGCAUACGAUCUGAGGAUGAAAGCGGGGGACCGUAAGGCCUCGCGCGAUCGGAGCGGCCGAUGUCAGAUUAGGUAGUUGGUGGGGUAAAGGCUCACCAAGCCAACGAUCUGUAGCUGGUCUGAGAGGACGACCAGCCUCACUGGGACUGAGACACGGCCCAGACUCCUACGGGAGGCAGCAGUGGGGAAUUUUGGACAAUGGGCGAAAGCCUGAUCCAGCAAUGCUGCGUGCAGGAAGAAGGCCUUCGGGUUGUAAACUGCUUUUGUACGGAGCGAAAAGGCUCUCUCUAAUACAGGGGGCUCAUGACGGUACCGUAAGAAUAAGCACCGGCUAACUACGUGCCAGCAGCCGCGGUAA
RNAcentral lists this ribosomal RNA (493 nucleotides) under uncultured bacterium. Its description in RNAcentral is "partial 16S ribosomal RNA". It matches the Rfam family "Bacterial small subunit ribosomal RNA", at positions 30 to 523 of the family's 1533-position model. The record is from RNAcentral.